GUCGGGUCGGGUGAAUUCAAUAAUAGACGCCUGUUGGCAUUCCAGCCUUCCUUCGCCUUUCAUGGCCACAUAUCUUUCCGG
This 81-nucleotide transfer RNA is filed under the name Helianthus annuus subsp. texanus. Its description in RNAcentral is "tRNA-Leu". Lineage: Eukaryota; Viridiplantae; Streptophyta; Magnoliopsida; Asterales; Asteraceae. The record is from RNAcentral.